This 410-nucleotide ribosomal RNA is filed under the name uncultured Candidatus Puniceispirillum sp. Its description in RNAcentral is "bacterial SSU rRNA". It matches the Rfam family "Bacterial small subunit ribosomal RNA", at positions 505 to 916 of the family's 1533-position model. The record is from RNAcentral. Lineage: Bacteria; Pseudomonadati; Pseudomonadota; Alphaproteobacteria; Puniceispirillales (SeqCode); Puniceispirillaceae (SeqCode).
GUGCCAGCCGCCGCGGUAAUACGGAGGGGGCUAGCGUUGUUCGGAAUUACUGGGCGUAAAGGGCGCGUAGGCGGUCAUUUAAGUUAGGCGUGAAAGCCCCGGGCUCAACCCGGGAACUGCGCUUAAAACUGAGAGACUAGAAAACGGAAGAGGGUAGUGGAAUUCCCAGUGUAGAGGUGAAAUUCGUAGAUAUUGGGAAGAACACCAGUGGCGAAAGCGGCUACCUGGUCCGAUUUUGACGCUGAGGCGCGAAAGCGUGGGGAGCAAACAGGAUUAGAUACCCUGGUAGUCCACGCCGUAAACGAUGUCUGCUAGAUGUCGGGGGGUUGCCCCUCGGUGUCGCCGCUAACGCAUUAAGCAGACCGCCUGGGAAGUACGGUCGCAAGAUUAAAACUCAAAUUAAUUGGCGG